UCGAAAAUCUUAGUAUGCCUUUCUGUCCCCAGUGAUGUUCUGCCACGGACGGCAGAACAAGGCUUCACGAGCCAUGGAUGGCUCGUUGAAUGCCGGUCACGUUACUUUGAUUGCCAGUAAGAAAACUGU
Roseburia sp. 831b is the source of this 129-nucleotide non-coding RNA. The record is from Rfam. NCBI's taxonomy places the organism in Bacteria, Bacillati, Bacillota, Clostridia, Lachnospirales, Lachnospiraceae.